UACGUAGGGGGCAAGCGUUGUCCGGAUUUAUUGGGCGUAAAGAGCGUGUAGGCGGCCGUACAGGUCAGCUGUGAAAACUCGAGGCUCAACCUCGAGACGCCGAUGGAAACCGUCUGGCUAGAGUCCGGAAGAGGAGAGUGGAAUUCCUGGUGUAGCGGUGAAAUGCGCAGAUAUCAGGGAGAACACCCGUGGCUAAGGCGGCUCUCUAGUACGGUACUGACGCUGAGACGCGAAAGCGUGGGGAGCGAACAGG
Molecule: ribosomal RNA, 253 nt
Filed under: uncultured bacterium
Lineage: Bacteria
Description: partial 16S ribosomal RNA
Rfam family: Bacterial small subunit ribosomal RNA
Source: RNAcentral